Molecule: microRNA, 22 nt
Filed under: Daphnia pulex (common water flea)
Lineage: Eukaryota; Metazoa; Arthropoda; Branchiopoda; Diplostraca; Daphniidae
Description: Dpu-Mir-12604_5p* (star (passenger))
Source: RNAcentral
CCAGUUUUACAUACCCCAUAGA